AGGUGUGGUGUCAUGCGCCUGUAAUCCCAGCUUCUUGAAAUACAGAGGCAGGAGGAUUGCUUGAGCCUAGGAGUUCUGGGCUAGCCUGGGAAACAGAGCAGAAACCUGUCUCUU
RNAcentral lists this small RNA (114 nucleotides) under Marmota monax (woodchuck). Lineage: Eukaryota; Metazoa; Chordata; Mammalia; Rodentia; Sciuridae. The record is from RNAcentral.